UACGUAGGGCGCAAGCGUUGUCCGGAAUUAUUGGGCGUAAAGAGCUCGUAGGCGGUUUAUCACGUCGGCUGUGAAAUCCCGAGGCUUAACCUCGGGCCUGCAGUCGAUACGGGUUGACUAGAGUGAAGCAGGGGAGACUGGAAUUCCUGGUGUAGCGGUGAAAUGCGCAGAUAUCAGGAGGAACACCGGUGGCGAAGGCGGGUCUCUGGGCUUUAACUGACGCUGAGGAG
RNAcentral lists this ribosomal RNA (230 nucleotides) under uncultured microorganism. Its description in RNAcentral is "partial 16S ribosomal RNA". It matches the Rfam family "Bacterial small subunit ribosomal RNA", at positions 524 to 753 of the family's 1533-position model. The record is from RNAcentral.